AAAUAAGAAGCAAUUUGCAUUUAGUUUCGACCUAAAAGAAAGAUUUUAUUAAUCCUUAUUUU
RNAcentral lists this transfer RNA (62 nucleotides) under Hemipyxis plagioderoides. RNAcentral describes it as "tRNA-Arg". Lineage: Eukaryota; Metazoa; Arthropoda; Insecta; Coleoptera; Chrysomelidae. The record is from RNAcentral.